UCCUAACUUCAAUGGGUAUUUUCUUAUUCUUCUUAUUGGAUUUUUUUUAAAAUAUAUUUUUUCUGCCACUGUGGGGAAUCAUUGCGUCCAACUGCACUGCGCUUAGUGAUAAUCAAAUGCGGGUCGUUGAUAUUCUUCAAAAACAUUCAAAUUCCAAGCUCAACGUGUCCUUUAAUAGCAAAUUGAUUUUUAAAUUUGGUAACUGCUUUUCUUCAUCAUUGAAUACUUUGAUUCUUCCUGCUAUCUUCCUAGGAUAAUUUCUGUCAUG
This 268-nucleotide unclassified non-coding RNA is filed under the name Hevea brasiliensis (rubber tree). Lineage: Eukaryota; Viridiplantae; Streptophyta; Magnoliopsida; Malpighiales; Euphorbiaceae. The record is from RNAcentral.